Molecule: unclassified non-coding RNA, 279 nt
Filed under: plant metagenome
Description: partial contains small subunit ribosomal RNA, internal transcribed spacer 1, and 5.8S ribosomal RNA
Source: RNAcentral
UCUCCGUUGGUGAACCAGCGGAAGGAUCAUUACUGAGGCUUGAACACAUUAUUCCACGGCGAACCAUAUCAAACUCUUCAAAUGGCGGCGUCACGCUACGGGUACGGCUCAGUUCCGGGAUCAGCUUGCCGGCCGAGGGACCCACCAAAAACCUUCUUUAGUCCCCUCGCGGCAGUUAUUUUUAAAACUAUAACUAACAACAAAAAAUGAAUUAAAUCUUGCAACAACGGAUCACGUAGCUCUGCCAUCGAUGAAGAACGCAGAAGCUCGGAACAGCAC